RNAcentral lists this ribosomal RNA (253 nucleotides) under uncultured bacterium. RNAcentral's name for it is "partial 16S ribosomal RNA". It matches the Rfam family "Archaeal small subunit ribosomal RNA", at positions 474 to 727 of the family's 1478-position model. The record is from RNAcentral.
UACCAGCACCCCGAGUGGUCGGGACGAUUAUUGGGCCUAAAGCAUCCGUAGCCGGCCUUACAAGUCCUCCGUUAAAUCCAGCUGCUUAACAGAUGGGCUGCGGAGGAUACUAUAAGACUAGGAGGCAGGAGAGGCAAGCGGUACUCAGUGGGUAGGGGAAAAAUCCGUUGAUCCAUUGAAGACCACCAGUGGCGAAGGCGGCUUGCCAGAAUGCGCUCGACGGUGAGGGAUGAAAGCUGGGGGAGCAAACCGG